RNAcentral lists this ribosomal RNA (582 nucleotides) under uncultured bacterium. RNAcentral's name for it is "bacterial SSU rRNA". It matches the Rfam family "Bacterial small subunit ribosomal RNA", at positions 341 to 914 of the family's 1533-position model. The record is from RNAcentral.
ACGGGAGGCAGCAGUAGGGAAUCUUCCGCAAUGGACGAAAGUCUGACGGAGCAACGCCGCGUGAGUGAUGAAGGUUUUCGGAUCGUAAAGCUCUGUUGUUAGGGAAGAACAAGUGCGAGAGUAACUGCUCGCACCUUGACGGUACCUAACCAGAAAGCCACGGCUAACUACGUGCCAGCAGCCGCGGUAAUACGUAGGUGGCAAGCGCUGUCCGGAAUUAUUGGGCGUAAAGGGCUCGCAGGCGGUUUCUUAAGUCUGAUGUGAAAGCCCCCGGCUCAACCGGGGAGGGUCAUUGGAAACUGGGAAACUUGAGUGCAGAAGAGGAGAGUGGAAUUCCACGUGUAGCGGUGAAAUGCGUAGAGAUGUGGAGGAACACCAGUGGCGAAGGCGACUAUCUGGUCUGUAACUGACACUGAGGCGCGAAAGCGUGGGGAGCAAACAGGAUUAGAUACCCUGGUAGUCCACGCCGUAAACGAUGAGUGCUAAGUGUUAGGGGGUUUCCGCCCCUUAGUGCUGCAGCUAACGCAUUAAGCACUCCGCCUGGGGAGUACGGUCGCAAGACUGAAACUCAAAGGAAUUGAC